UCGGAGCUCGAACAAAUUCACCGUGAAUUCUCUUCUCACUCUGCAUCAAAAAUGGCGCUAAUCCUCCUCUCUCUCUCUCUCUCUCUCUCUCUCUCUCGAAAGCCCUAAUUCAAUGCGAUUAUUAUACUUGCAGGUCGAGAGAGAACUGCAAAUCGAUUGAAGAUCUUCAAUAUCAGAUCCAUGGAGCAACGGUGCUUAAACUCGAUCCGAAGAUCGCAUCUCAUCAAUUUACGAUCUCUUCUCUCAAGUCCGAAAUUGAUACACUUACGAUGACAAUAUUCAACAAAUUAGCAAGCCACAAAUAAUCAGGAACUCGGGCAAGAUGAUGCUUGAACUCAUCGCCAUCAGAGUUCUCCGCCCACCAACACAUCAUUUGCAAACUCUGUAACAAGAACUUAUUAGACUUGUUUCACACUUUCAAUCUGAAGAGUUUUGAAACCGAUGACGCAUUUGAUUUUGUUUGUGUUCCUCGCCUUUUCGACACAUCCUAUGGUAAUGUAUCUGUUACUCUGCUCCAUAACGCAUGUACUUGACUGUUUUCCGAAUGGCUCUCUCUCUUAUCUUGUUGAGGGGCCAACAGUUCAUGAUCGGCUCACUCAGAUAAUGAAGACUAUCCCAAAGGAGAUCUUGUAUGAAGCAGUCAUGGCGUGCUUUAUUCCAAUUUAUCUCCUCAUAUAGCUUUGGGUGAAUUUCUCGUCUUAAUGACUUGACAAGAUUGGUGAUCAGCCCAUGAUAUUUCCUCCCAUACAGGUAACCAACUAGGUGGUCAGUUCUAACCCAUGACGCCCGGUUUCUUUUGUCAACCUUCGUGUAUCCAGGCACUUACGAAGCCACUUAUUUUUUAAAGUUUAUUAAGAUAAUUGGCUUACUUCUUGACCAUCCUUCCAAGUUUGAAUGUAUAUAACUUCAACAGUUUUGUACAUGCCCGAUUAUAGGGCUGGGUCUGUAUAUGUGUUUGUGUAUAAGUACUGCUAAGGAAUAUUUUUGCACUUUAUCGGCCUAUUAUGGUGCAUGUGAUGUGUGAGAUCCUGGCAUAUUAGAAAUAGCUCAAUGGAGUUUGUUUAGUUUAAUAUUCUUUUAAUAUUUUGCGCUUUCGAUAAGGCCCCAUAUGCUAUAUAUACCAGGUUAUAUGUCUGUUUUUGA
Molecule: non-coding RNA, 1143 nt
Organism: Camellia sinensis
Lineage: Eukaryota; Viridiplantae; Streptophyta; Magnoliopsida; Ericales; Theaceae
Source: RefSeq, a predicted model, not a curated record